GCGGCGUGCCUCAUACAUGAGAGUAGGAAGCGAAAGUCCCCUUCGGGGGAUGAGUAGAGUGGCGUCUUUUAUCAGUAACACGUAGGGAAUAUACCUUCGGGUGGGGAAUAACGCAGGGAAACUUGCGCUAAUACCGCAUAAUGCAGCGGCACCACAUGGUGACAGUUGUUAAAGCGGGGGAUUUUCGAACCUCGCGCCUGAAGAGGAGCCUGCGGCAGAUUAGCUAGUUGGUAAGGUAACGACUUACCAAGGCGACGAUCUGUAGCCGGCCUGAGAGGGCGGUCGGCCACACUGACACUGACAUACGGGUCAGACUCCUACUGGAGGCAGCAGUGGG
RNAcentral lists this ribosomal RNA (337 nucleotides) under uncultured Acidobacteriota bacterium. RNAcentral's name for it is "bacterial SSU rRNA". It matches the Rfam family "Bacterial small subunit ribosomal RNA", at positions 39 to 358 of the family's 1533-position model. The record is from RNAcentral. Lineage: Bacteria; Pseudomonadati; Acidobacteriota.